Orcinus orca (killer whale) is the source of this 2556-nucleotide long non-coding RNA. RefSeq lists it as uncharacterized. The transcript has 2 exons. The record is from RefSeq and is a predicted model, not a curated record. Lineage: Eukaryota; Metazoa; Chordata; Mammalia; Artiodactyla; Delphinidae.
UGCAAACCCCCAGGAUCUCAGGGUCUGCCUCCUGGAGACCACGAGCUUCGGCAAGAAGUGGGCUGAGCCUAUAAAGACAUCAACCUCCAGGAGGCUCGAGGUACAAAGGGCUCCUGUACAUCCACCUCCUCUGAACUCACAGCACUCUAGUCAGGUAAGCAGGGCUUACCACCAGUCUCAUUAGGCCAAGGAAGAAACUGAGGCCCAAGGCAGGGUGGGGGUGUGGCCUUGGGAAGCAGGUCUUGGUCAAGUCAGGGUUGAUGGCAGUACACAGAGCUCUGGCUCCAGUGUGAGUUUUCCUUGGCCCAAUAUGGGGCCUCCUGUCUCUCUUUUGGAUGAACCCCUGGCCACCUCUGUCUGGCCCACCAAACACCACCUUGGCCAACCUUGCAUCUCUCCUACAGCCCAUUGCUUUAAGAGGCCUGGAGACUCAGCUUUUUGACCUGCUUUGCUAUGAGCAUUGAGGGGCUGCUCUGGGGGGGUCCCUUUCUGCUCUGUGCCAACUCCCACUCUCUUUCUUCCCUUCCUGAGCUGUCCCCUGCCCUGUGGAUGCUCAAGAUCAUGGGUGAAGACAACACGUACACGUUGGACAAGUAUGGAGUGAAGUAAGUUGCUCUGAGAAUGGCUUCUGGGGCCUCCUUCAAGUGUUGUGGGAGAGGUGGAGCCACUACUGGCCAGGGUCAGCUACAUAACUUGCAAAAUGAAAACAUGGGUCCCUUGGCUCAAAAAUUAUUAAGAAAUUCAAGCCCUCAGAAGUCAGAGAGAUUGGAAGAAAGAGAAAGACUCCACUGGCAAUUGAUGGCUUUGAAGAUGGAGAAAGAUGAGCCAAAGCCUGGGGACAGCCUCUAGAAGCUGAGAACAACGGCAGCCACCAGCAGACAAGGGAUUCACGACCUCAGUCCCACAAGCACAGAGGACCAAAUUCUGCCAACAAGCUGAAUGAGCUUGGAAGUAAUUCUCCCCCAGAGGCUCUCAAAAGGAAUCCAGCCCUGCCGUCUUAGCUGGGCCUUGUGAACACAGAGCAGAGGAACCCAUCAAGCCUCCUGGCAUCUGACCUACAGAGCUGCCAGGGUAAAGUUUCCCUUUGCAUGCCUUAGAAGAAAAGAAUGUUGGCUCCAGGAAACCUCUCUGAGCAGUGAUGACAUCACAGAAUGGAGUGAGGUCAGGAGAGACGAGCAAUCACCAAACUCACCCAAAAAGACCGUGGGGAAGAGUGGCUCCCAUCGCAGGACACCGCUCAGUUUCAUCAGCAACAGCAGACUCAAGCUGUGUGUUCUUGUACUGAUUCUCUUCCCUACAGUUUUCACUGCCUCAGCAGCACAGACAGGAUGGCACAGUGCGGAGCUUGGGGAGGGCAUCAACACGCUGGCAGGAAAGUCCACCAAAACGGAGAAUGAGAAAGGAGCACUGGCCCACUCUGAACUGCAUCCCCUGUCAGAUGGAACAAGGCUGGCAGCUUUAAUCACCAUCACUUCUGCAAGCCCUUCAGGGUGAAAUUUAAAAGGACACAAACACAGCUUUUUCUUGACUAAAAGACUGUCGAGUGACUUAAAUUUCUCACGCCAUUUUAUACACUGUGUUUUAUUUUUUUUCAUUGCUCUUAUGCAUUUUAUUUAUUUAUUUAUUGUUUUUGUUCCAAAGACUAGUUUUAUUUAUUUUUCACAUGUCCACAUUUCUGUAUGUGAUAGUCCUUUCCUUUUCUUUUUAAAAAAAUAUUUAUUUAUUAACAUCUUUAUUGGAGUAUAAUUGCUUUACAAUGGUGUGUUAGUUUCUGCUGUAUAACAAAGUGAAUCAGCUAUACAUAUACACAUAUCCCCAUAUCUCCUCCCUCUUGCAUCUCCCUCCCAUCCUCCCUAUCCCACCCCUCUAGGUAGUCACAAAGCACCGAGCUGAUCUCCCUGUACUAUGCGGCUGCUUACACUGUGUUUUAAUGUUAGGUAGUUUUACUUGCUUUCGUUUUGAUCAGGGUUUAUGUGUUUGUUUAUAUUUUGCACUUGUUAAUAUGAGACAUCCGCGGGAUGGUUCUCACAGGUAAACUAAAUCUUUUCACUGUCCUUCUCGCUCUGUACAUGUAUGUAUUUCUAGCCCCCAAGCAUGGUCAUCAGUGAGUUCUGUCUCUAUAUGCUGUCAGUUUCUAUUACAGGAAGGACUGCUAUGACCUCAUGGUACAGCAAACAAGAUCAACAACAACAAAGUCAUAAAUAAUGAAAAAGACAGAAAAAAAGAAAACAUCAAAAAAUAAAAACAAAAACUUCCCUAACUCUCCCUCCUACCAUGGAACCGACUCUUUCCUGGCCCUUCCUCUCCUUGCCCUCUUCUCUCCCCAAGCAGGGCACACUUCUUACCUCUGUGUGUGGAGCCACAGAAAGUGGCUGGAAGGACAGAAGCUCUAAGAAACUCCUCUCUCUGAAAUGGAGCAGGACCCUAUGAUCCUUGCCCCCCAUGUCCUCAGUCUGCCUUUUGUCUGUAGAAAACUUUAGCCAAAGAAUAAGUUUGACCAGAGAAGUGAAAAAAUGCAGGAGCAAAGAAAAGCAGUCAAACAGAACAAAACAAUAA